This 369-nucleotide ribosomal RNA is filed under the name uncultured eukaryote. RNAcentral describes it as "SSU rRNA". It matches the Rfam family "Eukaryotic small subunit ribosomal RNA", at positions 587 to 969 of the family's 1831-position model. The record is from RNAcentral.
AGCUCCAAUAGCGUAUAUUAAAGUUGUUGCAGUUAAAAAGCUCGUAGUUGGAUUUCUGGCGGGGACCCAAGUACCCCUGGUGGGUGUGCUCGGGCCCGGCCAUCCUUCUGUCAACUUUCGCGCGUCCUUCACCGGUCGGCAAAGGGAUCAGAUAAUUUACCUUGAGAAAAUUAGAGUGUUUCAGGCAGGCUUUCGCCGGAAUACAUUAGCAUGGAAUAAUGGAAUAGGACUGAGGUCUCGUUGUUGGUUACGCGGACUCCAGUAAUGAUUAAUAGGGACAGUUGGGGGCAUUAGUAUUUAUUAGCUAGAGGUGGAAUUCUCUAAUUUGAUAAAGACUAACUUAUGCGAAAGCAUUUGCCAAGGAUGUUU